Molecule: RNase P RNA, 391 nt
Filed under: Gammaproteobacteria bacterium
Lineage: Bacteria; Pseudomonadati; Pseudomonadota; Gammaproteobacteria
Description: RNase P RNA component class A
Rfam family: Bacterial RNase P class A
About the family: Ribonuclease P (RNase P) is a ubiquitous endoribonuclease, found in archaea, bacteria and eukarya as well as chloroplasts and mitochondria. Its best characterised activity is the generation of mature 5'-ends of tRNAs by cleaving the 5'-leader elements of precursor-tRNAs.
Source: RNAcentral
CGAGUCGGUCGGAUAGUCGCUGCCGCCCCAGUUUACUGGGGUGGGAGAGGAAAGUCCGGACUCCGCAGGGUGGCGUGCCAGAUAACGUCUGGGCAGUGUGAACUGACAGCCAGUGCAGCAGAGAGAAGACCGCCCUUCAUUUUUUGUUGGGUAAGGGUGAAAGGGUGCGGUAAGAGCGCACCGCGCCACUGGUAACAGUUGGCGGCAAGGUAAACCUCACGCGGAGCAAGACCAAAUAGGCGUACAUCGGCAACCCUGUAUUGGGCGGCCGAAACGGUGACCCGCCGUGUACGCGGGUAGGUUGCUGGAGCGCAUUGGCAACGAUGCGCCUAGAUAAAUGACUAUCGUGGCUUCGGCCAGACAGAAUCCGGCUUAUAGACCGACUCAUUUU